AAAGUCGUAACAAGGUUUCCGUAGGUGAACCUGCGGAAGGAUCAUUACCCUUCUAUCAGGGGAUGGGCGCCAGCCUUCGGGGCUCUUGCUUCGCUUGGCUGCGUCUGUCUCUUCUGAUUCUACCCAUGUCUUUUGCGCACCCUUUGUUUCCUUGGUGGGCUUGCCUGCCUGUAGGACACACCCAAACCACUUGUAAUUGCAGUCAGCGUCAGUACACAAUGUAAUUAUUACAACUUUCAACAACGGAUCUCUUGGUUCUG
This 260-nucleotide unclassified non-coding RNA is filed under the name Ascomycota sp. RNAcentral describes it as "partial contains small subunit ribosomal RNA, internal transcribed spacer 1, and 5.8S ribosomal RNA". The stretch from base 1 to 47 matches the Rfam family "Eukaryotic small subunit ribosomal RNA", at positions 1785 to 1831 of the family's 1831-position model. Lineage: Eukaryota; Fungi; Ascomycota. The record is from RNAcentral.